RNAcentral lists this ribosomal RNA (429 nucleotides) under bacterium. RNAcentral describes it as "partial 16S ribosomal RNA". It matches the Rfam family "Bacterial small subunit ribosomal RNA", at positions 355 to 776 of the family's 1533-position model. The record is from RNAcentral.
UAGGGAAUCUUCCACAAUGGACGCAAGUCUGAUGGAGCAACGCCGCGUGAGUGAAGAAGGUUUUCGGAUCGUAAAGCUCUGUUGUUGGUGAAGAAGGAUAGAGGUAGUAACUGGCCUUUAUUUGACGGUAAUCAACCAGAAAGUCACGGCUAACUACGUGCCAGCAGCCGCGGUAAUACGUAGGUGGCAAGCGUUGUCCGGAUUUAUUGGGCGUAAAGCGAGCGCAGGCGGAAGAAUAAGUCUGAUGUGAAAGCCCUCGGCUUAACCGAGGAACUGCAUCGGAAACUGUUUUUCUUGAGUGCAGAAGAGGAGAGUGGAAUUCCAUGUGUAGCGGUGGAAUGCGUAGAUAUAUGGAAGAAAGCCAGUGGCGAAGGCGACUCUCUGGUCUGCAACUGACGCUGAGGCUCGAAAGCAUGGGUAGCGAACAGG